GACGAACGCUGGCGGCGUGCUUAACACAUGCAAGUCGAACGGAAAGGCCCUGCUUUUGUGGGGUGCUCGAGUGGCGAACGGGUGAGUAACACGUGAGUAACCUGCCCUUGACUUUGGGAUAACUUCAGGAAACUGGGGCUAAUACGGGAUAGGAGCUCCUGCUGCAUGGUGGGGGUUGGAAAGUUUCGGCGGUUGGGGAUGGACUCGCGGCUUAUCAGCUUGUUGGUGGGGUAGUGGCUUACCAAGGCUUUGACGGGUAGCCGGCCUGAGAGGGUGACCGGCCACAUUGGGACUGAGCUGAGGCCCAGACUACUACGGGAGGCAGAAGUGGGGAAUAUUGCACAAUGGGCGGAAGCCUGAUGCAGCAACGCCGCGUGCGGGAUGACGGCCUUCGGUUUGUAAACCGCUUUCGCCUGUGACGAAGCGUGAGUGACGGUAAUGGGUAAAGAAGCACCGGCUAACUACGUG
RNAcentral lists this ribosomal RNA (468 nucleotides) under uncultured bacterium. Its description in RNAcentral is "partial 16S ribosomal RNA". It matches the Rfam family "Bacterial small subunit ribosomal RNA", at positions 28 to 507 of the family's 1533-position model. The record is from RNAcentral.